UGGGGAAUUUUGGACAAUGGGGGAAACCCUGAUCCAGCCAUCCCGCGUGUGCGAUGAAGGCCUUCGGGUUGUAAAGCACUUUUGGCAGGAAAGAAACGUCGCGGGUUAAUACCCCGCGAAACUGACGGUACCUGCAGAAUAAGCACCGGCUAACUACGUGCCAGCAGCCGCGGUAAUACGUAGGGUGCAAGCGUUAAUCGGAAUUACUGGGCGUAAAGCGUGCGCAGGCGGUUCGGAAAGAAAGAUGUGAAAUCCCAGAGCUUAACUUUGGAACUGCAUUUUUAACUACCGGGCUAGAGUGUGUCAGAGGGAGGUGGAAUUCCGCGUGUAGCAGUGAAAUGCGUAGAUAUGCGGGGGAACACCGAUGGCGAAGGCAGCCUCCUGGGAUAACACUGACGCUCAUGCACGAAAGCGUGGGGAGCAAACAGGAUUAGAUACCCUGGUAGUCCACGCCCUAAACGAUGUCAACUAGCUGUUGGGGCCUUCGGGCCUUGGUAGCGCAGCUAACGCGUGAAGUUGACCGCCUGGGGAGUACGGUCGCAAGAUUAAAACUUAAAUGAAUUGACGGGGUCAUAGCUGUUUUCCUG
This 587-nucleotide ribosomal RNA is filed under the name uncultured bacterium. Its description in RNAcentral is "partial 16S ribosomal RNA". It matches the Rfam family "Bacterial small subunit ribosomal RNA", at positions 355 to 1383 of the family's 1533-position model. The record is from RNAcentral.